This 275-nucleotide ribosomal RNA is filed under the name uncultured Vampirovibrio sp. RNAcentral describes it as "partial 16S ribosomal RNA". It matches the Rfam family "Bacterial small subunit ribosomal RNA", at positions 338 to 627 of the family's 1533-position model. The record is from RNAcentral. Lineage: Bacteria; Bacillati; Candidatus Melainabacteria; Vampirovibriophyceae; Vampirovibrionales; Vampirovibrionaceae.
CCUACGGGUGGCUGCAGUGGGGAAUUUUACACAAUGGGCGAAAGCCUGAUGUAGCGACACCGCGUGAGCGAAGAAGCCUUUUGGGGUGUAAAGCUCUGUCAGCAGGGACGAAACAAAUGACGGUACCUGCAGAGGAAGCAUCGGCUAACUACGUGCCAGCAGCCGCGGUAAGACGUAGGAUGCAAGCGUUGUCCGGAUUUAUUGGGCGUAAAGAGUUCGUAGGUGGUUUGUUAAGUCUGAUGUUAAAGACUGGGGCUCAACCUCGGAAAUGCAUU